AAUCGCCGUAUGCCAUGAAAGUGGCACGUACGGUGAGGACCGGUCGAAAUCUCGGUGGAGAUAGACACGGAAU
RNAcentral lists this non-coding RNA (73 nucleotides) under Tissierella praeacuta. The record is from RNAcentral. RNAcentral also lists the same sequence under 1 other name. Lineage: Bacteria; Bacillati; Bacillota; Tissierellia; Tissierellales; Tissierellaceae.